AUUGCAGACCAAGGCUGGAGAGGCUGCCAAGAAGAAGUGAGAUCCCCAUAGAUAUGAACUAAGUUUCAUGCAGCAAUACAAUCAAGCCCCUACUUAUUUACCUCCAUUUAUAUUGUUUGCCAUUGAACUUCAAAUGUGUAAUGCUGAGUUCAUUCUUCUUUUGAAUAUCCAUUUGGAUUUUUGUAUUAUGGACCUACUUGACCUGUUCCUAUGGAGAUUUUAACUUGAAAUGAAUUUUUGGGGUUGGAAAUUGAAAUCUGAAUCAGUACCAUGUUAUGUUACCUAAUGCUUUGAAAUUUGCUUCUACCAAUUAUUGUUCCUUUCUUUUUCUUUGAAAGAAAUAUUAAAAAUUAAGGUGAUGAUAGACUUAUGUGUAUGGUUUGCUUUUUGUUUUUUUAUCUUUUGCAAAAGAAUUGUUUUUAAUUGAUAACCAAAUGUAAUUAAGUAAUAUUUUUAAAAAUUGUAUUGGACACUUUAGAUAAUUUUUCUUGAAAAUGUUUCAUUAAUGUUGGUGUUAUAGUUCAUUAACACAAUCUCAAUUCUUACACAAAUAAUUGUUCUAACAUAAACACUCAGUAUAAAUUUAAAUAUGAAAUUAAAAAAAUGAAAAAAAUUAAUAAAAAUAUUUUUUCAAAACUAGUAAAAAUUAUUUUUUCUUUCGAUGAAAAUAAAUCAUAUGAAUGAUUAAAAAUUAAAGAGUAAAAUUAAUUUAUCCCUUAAAAUGGGAGUUUUUAUUUGGUUUUUAUCCUCAUAAGAUAAUUUUGGAGGUACAAUGUUGUUAAUUUGGCUCUUAUUCUUUUUUUUUUUCAGUUAAAUUUGACAUUCAAUUUUAAAAAAAAGUUAAAUUUAAUCAUAAACUUUUAAACAUAACAGCUUACAGGACAAUCCACUUGUGUUCCAUGCUAAUUUUUUUAUGAUUUUUUUUAUUUUUAAUUUUAAUUUUUAUAAAUUUUGAAUUAUUUUUUUAUGUGACAUAUAAGACAAAUGAUAUUAUGUUAGUAUGAUAAGCACAUGAACUGUUAUGCACAUUGUCAUGCCAACAACAUUAAAAAUUAAUGCUUUAGUCAUAAUUUUCAUUAGAAAAAUUGAUUUAACUAUUUUUUGAAAGGUUAAUGACCAAUAAUUGUCAAACUAAUAAAAAGUAUAAAUAUUGAAACCUAAAAUAAUAAAGAGUUGGUGAGUUUGAAUGUAGAAUUACAUGUAAAAGAAUAAUUGAUGUUAUAAUAGUGUAUCAAGCAGGCUUAUAAACCACGAAGGAGGGAAUAAUCCCAAGUUUUGCUGUAUCAGCCAACCACCCAUCACCCUUUGUGGUGUCAGAAGGAGUAAAGCUUCUAGUCUCCAUAUUAUAUACACCCACAUUUUUGUUUCUCUUCAACGCAUACGAACCAUUUGGAGCCAUUGAUGCAUAUAAAAAGGCUUCGUAGUCAUCUAUUAAAUAUAUGCAAUUUGGUUGACAUCCACAAAAAGCAGAACCCACCACAGAUAAUGAGCUGUUGUCACCUACAAACAAAGCACAAUUUUCUAUGCUUUUCAUCUCCCUCCAUUCCCAUCCUUCUGAAUCUAACUUCAGAUUCCAAAUUCCGACUCCUUUUGUGUAAUUAUAACCCCCAUGCCAAUGCCACCUAUUUAUUAUUUCAACUAGCAAUAGUUCCCCUGUAAGUGACUCCACAAGAUAUUUUGUUUCAAAAUUUUCUAGCUCAACCUAUGAUUUAUAGGCAAAUAUUUAAAAAAUGACCCAUCAACCUCAUUAAAAUAAAUAAUUUCACCCUUAUGAUCAACUGCACAAAAGUGAUCUUGGUAGUAUAUAAGAUCAUGAAGUACGCCCCAAUUAUGGUUAACAUAAGUCCAUUUUUUGUCUUUGCUUGGCUUAGUAUAUGCUACGUGAUGAUCGGCACCAAAUAUGGCCAUGACCAUGUAAUCGUCAGGGUUUGAUGUCGGAUUACCAGAAAGUACAACCUUGCAAAUGUGAUCAAAAUUACUACAUGGUGGAUCCAAUGGUGGAAGAGUAAUAUAAGUAUUUGGAUCACAACCAAUUUGUUUCCCGAGGACCAAACACAGUGGGUUGAGUAAACGAACAACUAAAUCGUCAUCCACGGUGACCAACCAUCCGUUGGAAGAGCCGACAAAUCGGUCGACAGAUGGUACUUGAAAUGGCAAGGGAAGAAGCUUGUUGUCUUUGAUGCUAUAUAGGUUCCAAACAUCUUGGGCAUUGAGAGGGACAAUGAGCAUGGGGUGCUUUAGGGACAACAAGUAGUUGAUGUUCUCCGUCGCAACAUUGUGCCACGCCGUGCAUGUUGCACCGAAUCGGAAAUAGUCUGACACUGAAGCCAACCUUUGUAAUAUCAAAUCAACAAGCUCAUUUGGUAGUUCUGCCCAAUCUGUAAGUAACAAAACCAAACAUUAUUCAAGUUACAAAGUCAGUUCUUUAAAAUAAUUAAUAGUUUAAGAAUACAAUAACUCACCCGAAUUCAUGCUUAUCUACUUUAAUGAAAACUACAAUAAUAUAUGCUUUCCACUGUAGAAAGAAUUUGGUUUUGUGAGAUAGCAGAUCAAGUUCUUAAUUAUGUGUUAAUGCAUAUACAUAUAUAUAAGUUGGAAAGAAGCGUAAUUAGAUCUAAACUUCAAAUCUCUAUUCAAUUAAGAUUCGUUGAAACUCAAUUCGAAUCUACAAACAAGAAUAAUUAGACCCAAACUCCAUUACAUUAUUAAAUUAAGAUUCAUUCAAACCUAAUUUGAAUUUAUAAAAUAUUAUUUGAAAUCCAACGAAAAUCCUUUUAGAAAUCCGAUUUAAUUAAAACAAAACCAAUUAGGAUUGAUCUUACAUAUAUAAUAAAAUUAAAUAUAAUAAUAUUAUAUUAUAUAAUUGUUUAAAUUUAAUUUUUAAUAAAAUCUAAAAUAUUAAAAUAAAAGUAAUAUAUUUUUAAAAAAUAAUAUAGACAAGUUUCAAACAGGUUUGAAUUAGAAUUUGUGUAAAAUUUUAGAAUUGAGUUAAUAUUUAGUUAAAUAAUUAUAAUUAUUUAUUUUAAUAAGGGCUGAUAUUAUCCUAAACUAUAACAAACAUGUCUACGUAAUCUUGAAAAGAAAACCAACCUCACAAAUCAAGUGUCGGUAAUAACAAAAUUAGCAAUUAAUUUAAAUAUUUUUGAGUUACAAUCACAGUGGUAAUUAUAAUAUGUAUACAUUAUUGAAAAUUUAAAUAUAAUAUUUAUAAUAAAAACUCGAAAAAUUAAAGUUUUAAACAUUGAGAAACUGCAGUAAUAAUUUCUUGUUUAAAUUAAAUCCACAGCAAGAUCUCCCACCCGCUAUUUCCACGCGCUUAUCCUCACGUUUGGAAGUCACACCCCUCGCUAAUCAUUCUAUUCAUGAUAGAUGACAUGGCAUCAACAUGAUAUUGUAUUUUGGUUAUUUUGGCGUAUUGCUUAAGACAAUAGCUAUUAUCUCAUGGGUUGAUACUUGUACUUUCAGUCGAGUUCGUAGUGUAGAAAUAAGUUAAGAGAAGCCAUUAAAACAAGCUGAAUUUCUUAUAUCAUGGGGAUCUUUACCUUUGUAUAAAGAAUGCUCCGUUGCGUCAGACAGGAAUGCAAUGCAUGCAACCUUUCUCUCUUUACCUCCUUUCCCUUCUUGCUUACACAAGUUGAGUGCAUGUGCUAAUGCACAUGCGCAGUUUGUGCAUUGAUUCUGAAGUUCUUUUCUUCCAAUGAUAGAAACGGACUUGAUACCAAGGUUGAAAAGUCUAGAAAGCAGAUGAAAGAAAGGAAAAACAGCGCUAAGAAAGUCAGAGGUGUUAAGAAGGUAAUUGGGGUGUUUGUUUUUUCGACUGUUCUUUCUUGAAUUUAUUUUGUUUAUUAUUUGUGACUUUGCCCACAUUGCAGACCAAGGCUGGAGAGGCUGCCAAGAAGAAGUGAGAUCCCCAUAGAUAUGAACCAAGUUUCAUGCAGCAAUAUAAGCAAGGCCUACUUAUUUACCUCCAUUUAUAUUGUUUGCCAUUGAACUUCAAAUGUGUAAUGCUGAGUUCAUUCUUCUUUUGAAUAUCCAUUUGGAUUUUUAUAUUAUGGACCUACUUUACCUGUUCCUAUGAAGAUUUUAACUUGAAAUGAAUUUUUGGGGUUGGAAAUUGAUAUCUGAGUCAGUGCCAUGUUAU
Molecule: long non-coding RNA, 4141 nt
Filed under: Gossypium barbadense (sea-island cotton)
Lineage: Eukaryota; Viridiplantae; Streptophyta; Magnoliopsida; Malvales; Malvaceae
Description: long non-coding RNA (GBAR_LNC008614)
Source: RNAcentral